Molecule: long non-coding RNA, 466 nt
Organism: Puntigrus tetrazona (Sumatra barb)
Lineage: Eukaryota; Metazoa; Chordata; Actinopteri; Cypriniformes; Cyprinidae
Exons: 4
Source: RefSeq, a predicted model, not a curated record
GCGAUUUCACGUGUUCAUCUUUUUUGUCGUAACGUAGAUGAGCUUAUUAGCCUUUUUUCUUUUUUUAACAAGGUUUGUGGCAAUCGGCAACGGAUACGUCUCAUGACCUCUUGGCGAGGCUAGCCGUAGUGCACAUGGUCCACGAGGCCAGGGAGACGCGAGCUCAGUGAAGGUGUUGGAGGUGAUUUACGCUGAUGAAAUCACACACGUGGCUGCAGGGCUGAGAUGGUUCACAUACAUCUGCUCAAAAGAAGGACGUGAUUCCUUGAAAACAUUCCAUGAAUUGGUGAAGUUGCAUUUCAAAGGGUUUUUGAAGCCUCCGUUCAACACAGAGGGAAGGAGGACAGCAGGGAUGACAGAAGAGUGGUAUGUUCCUCUUGUCAAGCCCUCCAGCUUACAGAAGACCUCCUGAUUGGAUUUAUUUUUAUUAAAACAACAAUUUUGCAUUCUGGAAAUUUUUAAUGUA